GUGGUACUCCCUCCGUCCGAAAAUACUUGUCAUCAAAAUAGAUAAAAAAGAUGUAUCUAGAACGUUCUAGAUACAUCUUUUUUAUCUAUUUUGAUGACAAGUAUUUUCGGACGGAGGGAGUAACAA
Molecule: non-coding RNA, 126 nt
Organism: Triticum aestivum (bread wheat)
Lineage: Eukaryota; Viridiplantae; Streptophyta; Magnoliopsida; Poales; Poaceae
Source: Rfam